GACACAGCAAAAAGGCACCAUCUAUGAACCAGACAGGGAGCCCUUUCCAGACAGUGAAUCUUCUGGUGCCUUGAUCUUGGACUUCCCAGCCUCUAGGACUGUUUUGGCAGUUCCUAAUUUAUCUUGAAUAUUCAAAAAGAACUUGCAUUUGUCAUGGGAAAAGAAGAAAAUAGAAGGGCUCACCUAACGUACCCUCAUAUGAAUCAUAUUCAAGCCCUUCCUUUGUCAACUAUCUCCCUCUCCAACCUACUGUGAGCUCAGAUCAGUGAUGUGCCUGCUUCCCCUUCCACCAUGACUGUAAGUUUCCUGAGGCCUCCCAAGCCAUGUGGAACUCUGAGACCCUAAGAGAAUGAAGGUGGAACUUUUCCACUCCUGCGUUUUGUGGCAACCCAGAUAGGACCCUAAAAGGCUGGUAUAUCCCCCUGCUUUGGAGCCUGCAGAUGGGAUCCUGAGAAGGCUGACAAGUCUGCAGAAGGAUACAGUUGGAAAUGCUGGUUAUAUUACCAUGGCUUUGACUGAAAUGUCAUAUUUUCAG
Long non-coding RNA from Symphalangus syndactylus (siamang), 535 nucleotides. RefSeq lists it as uncharacterized. NCBI's taxonomy places the organism in Eukaryota, Metazoa, Chordata, Mammalia, Primates, Hylobatidae. The record is from RefSeq and is a predicted model, not a curated record.